This 242-nucleotide ribosomal RNA is filed under the name Enterococcus faecium. RNAcentral's name for it is "partial 23S ribosomal RNA". It matches the Rfam family "Bacterial large subunit ribosomal RNA", at positions 125 to 367 of the family's 2925-position model. Lineage: Bacteria; Bacillati; Bacillota; Bacilli; Lactobacillales; Enterococcaceae. The record is from RNAcentral.
AACCCAACAUCUUUAAUAGGAUGUUACGAUUGUGUGAAUACAUAGCACAUUAGAGGUAGACGCAGAGAACUGAAACAUCUAAGUACCUGCAGGAAGAGAAAGAAAAUUCGAUUCCCUGAGUAGAGGCGAGCGAAACGGGAAAAGCCCAAACCAGCAAGCUUGCUUGUUGGGGUUGUAGGACUCCAAUAUUGUAGUUCUUUCAGAUAGUCGAAUGACUUGGAUAAGUCAGUCAAAGAGGGUAA